GCAGGAGGCAGCCUGGGCAGGGCUUUCCCCGGGGCUCAGGGCACUUUGCAGAGAUGCUGCCGACAGAACACAGCAGAGCUCAGCUUCCAAGUGCUUAGCUCAGAGUCGCCUGAGGAGGCAAAACCCAUCUGUGGGGAGAGAUGUCAGAAUAACGGGGUGAUUGUCACCUGGCAGGAGGCGUGAGGAAGGCUGCUGAGGGACCAGAAAUGUCCUCCAUCUUGAUCUGGGUGGUGUUUAAAUGGAUAUGAACAUAUGUAAAAAUUCGGUGAACUGAAUAUUUGAGACUUGUGCAUUUUACUGUCUAUGUGUUACAUCUCAAUUAAAAAAAGAACUAAGAUGGAGA
Molecule: non-coding RNA, 343 nt
Organism: Equus caballus (horse)
Lineage: Eukaryota; Metazoa; Chordata; Mammalia; Perissodactyla; Equidae
Source: RefSeq, a predicted model, not a curated record